This 253-nucleotide ribosomal RNA is filed under the name uncultured bacterium. Its description in RNAcentral is "partial 16S ribosomal RNA". It matches the Rfam family "Bacterial small subunit ribosomal RNA", at positions 524 to 776 of the family's 1533-position model. The record is from RNAcentral.
UACGUAGGUGACCAGCGUUGUCCGGAUUUACUGGGCGUAAAGAGCGCGCAGGCGGUCGUUCAAGUCGAGUGUGAAAGCCCCCGGCUCAACUGGGGAGGGUCACUCGAUACUGAUCGACUGGAAGGCAGGAGAGGGAAGCGGAAUUCCCGGUGUAGUGGUGAAAUGCGUAGAUAUCCGGAGGAACACCGGUGGCGAAGGCGGCUUCCUGGACCGAUACUGACGCUGAGGCGCGAAAGCUAGGGGAGCAAACGGG